GCAGCGGGUGCGGAAUGGGAGCGGCGAGCGGCGCCUGUUGCGCGCCGUCCGCCUCGAUCGACUUGAGGCGGUUGCGC
Molecule: transfer RNA, 77 nt
Filed under: Paractinoplanes toevensis
Lineage: Bacteria; Bacillati; Actinomycetota; Actinomycetes; Micromonosporales; Micromonosporaceae
Description: Actinoplanes toevensis tRNA-Asn
Source: RNAcentral